This is a non-coding RNA of Ictidomys tridecemlineatus (thirteen-lined ground squirrel), 69 nucleotides long. The record is from Rfam. NCBI's taxonomy places the organism in Eukaryota, Metazoa, Chordata, Mammalia, Rodentia, Sciuridae.
GGGAUUAUGGCUCAGUGGUAGAGUGCUUGCCUGAUAUGUAUGAGGUACUGGGUUCGAUUCUCAGUACUA